RNAcentral lists this ribosomal RNA (1146 nucleotides) under human gut metagenome. RNAcentral's name for it is "bacterial LSU rRNA". It matches the Rfam family "Bacterial large subunit ribosomal RNA", at positions 1342 to 2487 of the family's 2925-position model. The record is from RNAcentral.
AGCCCAAGGUUUCCUGCUCUACGUUCAUCGGAGCAGGGUGAGUCGGCCCCUAAGGCCAGGCUGAGAAGCGUAGUCGAUGGGAAGCAGAUUAAUAUUUCUGCACCAUGUGCAAGUGCGAUGGGGGGACGGAGUGCGAAAGAUCAUCCGGGUGUUGGAUGUCCCGGUUUGUGAGUGUAGAAGGCCGACAGGCAAAUCCGUCGGCGGAUCUUCGAGACAAAGCAUCGAGGUUCUACGGAACCGAAGUGAUCGGAAGUGCUUCCAGGAAAAGCCUCUAAGCUCCAGCUUGCAUAUGACCGUACCGUAAACCGACACUGGUGGGCGAGUUGAAUAUACUCAGGCGCUUGAGAGAACUCGGGAGAAGGAACUCGGCAAAUUGACACCGUAACUUCGGGAUAAGGUGUGCCUUUGUAGCGUGAAGAGAGAAACACUCGGAGCGUGAAGAGGCCUCAGAGAAUCGGUGGCUGCAACUGUUUAUUAAAAACACAGCACUCUGCAAAGACGAAAGUCGACGUAUAGGGUGUGAUGCCUGCCCGGUGCUGGAAGAUUAAGUGAUGGGGUGAGAGCUCCUGAUCGAAGUCCCAGUAAACGGCGGCCGUAACUAUAACGGUCCUAAGGUAGCGAAAUUCCUUGUCGGGUAAGUUCCGACCUGCACGAAUGGCAUAAUGAUGGCCACACUGUCUCCUCCCGAGACUCAGUGAAGUUGAAAUGUUUGUGAUGAUGCAAUCUCCCCGCGGCUAGACGGAAAGACCCCAUGAACCUUUACUGUAGCUUUGCAUUGGACUUUGAACCGAUUUGUGUAGGAUAGGCGGGAGGCAGAGAAAGCGCAACGCCAGUUGUGCCGGAGCCGACGUUGAAAUACCGCCCUGAUUUGUUUGAGGUUCUAACCGCGACCCGUGAGCCGGGUUCGGGACCGUGCAUGGCAGGCAGUUUGACUGGGGCGGUCUCCUCCUAAAGGGUAACGGAGGAGUACAAAGGUACGCUAGGUACGGUCGGAAAUCGUGCUGAUAGUGCAAAGGCAAAAGCGUGCUUGACUGCGAGACCGACAAGUCGAGCAGAUGCGAAAGCAGGUCUUAGUGAUCCGGUGGCUCUGUAUGGAAGGGCCAUCGCUCAACGGAUAAAAGGUACUCUGGGGAUAACAGGCUGAUA